AUGGGCGCAAGCCUGAUGCAUCCCUGCCGCGUGUAUGAAGAAUGCCUUCGGGUUGUAAAUUUCUUUCGGCGAGGAGGAAGGUAUUAAGGUUAAUAUACCUUAUUGAUUGACGUUACUCGCAGAAGAACACCGGCUAACUCCGUGCCAGCAGCCGCGGUAAUACGGAGGGUGCGAGCGUUAAUCGGAAUUACUGGGCGUAAAGCGCACGCAGGCGGUCUGUCAAGUCGGAUGUGAAAUCCCCGGGCUCAAGCUGGGAACUGCAUUCGAAGCUGGCAGGCUAGAGUCUUGUAGAGGGGGAUAGAAUUCGAGGUGUAGCGGUGAAAUGCGUAGAGAUCUGGAGGAUACCGGUGGCGAAGGCGGCUGCUGGACAAGACUGAGCUCAGGUGCGAAGGGUGGGGAGCAACAGGAUAGAUCGCUGGAGUCCCGCUGUAACGAUGCUAGUUG
This 444-nucleotide ribosomal RNA is filed under the name Kluyvera cryocrescens. RNAcentral's name for it is "bacterial SSU rRNA". It matches the Rfam family "Bacterial small subunit ribosomal RNA", at positions 371 to 818 of the family's 1533-position model. The record is from RNAcentral. Lineage: Bacteria; Pseudomonadati; Pseudomonadota; Gammaproteobacteria; Enterobacterales; Enterobacteriaceae.